Molecule: ribosomal RNA, 427 nt
Filed under: uncultured Providencia sp.
Lineage: Bacteria; Pseudomonadati; Pseudomonadota; Gammaproteobacteria; Enterobacterales; Morganellaceae
Description: bacterial SSU rRNA
Rfam family: Bacterial small subunit ribosomal RNA
Source: RNAcentral
UGGGGAAUAUUGCACAAUGGGCGCAAGCCUGAUGCAGCCAUGCCGCGUGUAUGAAGAAGGCCUUAGGGUUGUAAAGUACUUUCAGUUGGGAGGAAGGCGUUGAUGCUAAUAUCAUCAGCGAUUGACGUUACCAACAGAAGAAGCACCGGCUAACUCCGUGCCAGCAGCCGCGGUAAUACGGAGGGUGCAAGCGUUAAUCGGAAUUACUGGGCGUAAAGCGCACGCAGGCGGUUGAUUAAGUUAGAUGUGAAAUCCCCGGGCUUAACCUGGGAAUGGCAUCUAAGACUGGUCAGCUAGAGUCUUGUAGAGGGGGGUAGAAUUCCAUGUGUAGCGGUGAAAUGCGUAGAGAUGUGGAGGAAUACCGGUGGCGAAGGCGGCCCCCUGGACAAAGACUGACGCUCAGGUGCGAAAGCGUGGGGAGCAAACA